GUGCAGCAGCCGCGGUAAUACGUAGGGCGCAAGCGUAUCCGGAAUAUUGGGCGUAAAGAGCUCGUAGGCGGUUUGUCGCGUCUGCCGUGAAAGUCCGGGGCUCAACUCCGGAUCUGCGGUGGGUACGGGCAGACUAGAGUGAUGUAGGGGAGACUGGAAUUCCUGGUGUAGCGGUGAAAUGCGCAGAUAUCAGGAGGAACACCGAUGGCGAAGGCAGGUCUCUGGGCAUUAACUGACGCUGAGGAGCGAAAGCAUGGGGAGCGAACAGGAUUAGAUACCCUGGUAGUCCAUGCCGUAAACGUUGGGCACUAGGUGUGGGGGACAUUCCACGUUUUCCGCGCCGUAGCUAACGCAUUAAGUGCCCCGCCUGGGGAGUACGGCCGCAAGGCUAAAACUCAAAGGAAUUGACGGGGGCCCGCACAAGCGGCGGAGCAUGCGGAUUAAUUCGAUGCAACGCGAAGAACCUUACCAAGGCUUGACAUGAACCGGAAACGCCUGGAAACAGGUGCCCCACUUGUGGUCGGUUUACAGGUGGUGCAUGGUUGUCGUCAGCUCGUGUCGUGAGAUGUUGGGUUAAGUCCCGCAACGAGCGCAACCCUCGUUCUAUGUUGCCAGCACGUGAUGGUGGGGACUCAUAGGAGACUGCCGGGGUCAACUCGGAGGAAGGUGGGGACGACGUCAAAUCAUCAUGCCCCUUAUGUCUUGGGCUUCACGCAUGCUACAAUGGCCGGUACAAAGGGUUGCGAUACUGUGAGGUGGAGCUAAUCCCAAAAAGCCGGUCUCAGUUCGGAUUGGGGUCUGCAACUCGACCCCAUGAAGUCGGAGUCGCUAGUAAUCGCAGAUCAGCAACGCUGCGGUGAAUACGUUCCCGGGCCUUGUACACACCGCCCGUCAAGUCACGAAAGUUGGUAACACCCGAAGCCGGUGGCCUAACCCUUUUGGGGGGGAGCCGUCGAAGGUGGGACUGGCGAUUGGGACUAAGUCGUAACAAGUAACCCC
This 999-nucleotide ribosomal RNA is filed under the name Pseudarthrobacter sp. RNAcentral describes it as "bacterial SSU rRNA". It matches the Rfam family "Bacterial small subunit ribosomal RNA", at positions 505 to 1502 of the family's 1533-position model. The record is from RNAcentral. Lineage: Bacteria; Bacillati; Actinomycetota; Actinomycetes; Micrococcales; Micrococcaceae.